RNAcentral lists this ribosomal RNA (322 nucleotides) under uncultured eukaryote. RNAcentral's name for it is "partial 18S ribosomal RNA". It matches the Rfam family "Eukaryotic small subunit ribosomal RNA", at positions 1470 to 1796 of the family's 1831-position model. The record is from RNAcentral.
CCCUUAGAUGUUCGGGGCCGCACGCGUGCUACACUGAGUGGAUCAGCGGGUCAGGUUGCGCGAAAGCGUUUCCUAAUCUUUAAAUCCGCUCGUGAUGGGGAUUGACGGUUGCAAUUUUCUGUCAUGAACGAGGAAUACCUUGUAAGCGCGGGUCAUCAUCCCGCGCUGAAUACGUCCCUGCCCUUUGUACACACCGCCCGUCGCUCCUACCGAUUGAGUGGUCCGGUGAGGCUUUGGGAUCUGAGCGGAAAGAGCGUUUCGCUGUUUCUGCUCGGAAAACUCAGUCGAACCUUAUCAUUUAGAGGAAGGAGAAGUCGUAACA